Molecule: long non-coding RNA, 1392 nt
Filed under: Triticum aestivum (bread wheat)
Lineage: Eukaryota; Viridiplantae; Streptophyta; Magnoliopsida; Poales; Poaceae
Description: long non-coding RNA (TAES_LNC017756)
Source: RNAcentral
GCACCGAUCCCUCGCUCUUCGCCGCCCUCGUACCGAUUCCUCGUGCUUCGCCGCCGCCGAUCCCUUCGACGCCGCCAAUCCCUUCGCCGCCGCCGAUCUCAUAGCUACGAUCCGCUUGAGGAGCCGCCGCCGAUCUCGUCGCUACGAUCAGCUUGGGGAGCCGCCGCCGAUCCCCUUCAGGAUCCGCCGGCGAUCGCCAUCCAGGGCACAGUCUACACGUUCUAGCGCCAAGAUCCUUUCCCCUUCCUCCUGCUAUGGUCGGGGGUCGGCGGCUCGCCGGUGUGGCGCAUGGCAGCGGAGAGAAGGGGGGCAAGAACAGCGGGGCAGAGUUCUUCCGGGAGGACGGCGUGUUGCACGACAUGGACGCGUAACUCAACUACCUGUCCCUCGAGCAUGACUCCUGGGACACCAAGCCAUGGACGGCUUGGUAUUACUUCUUGGAUCCUUCCUCCCUUCUCUGUAUUUAGAAACUGAAAUUUAAUAAGGCUGUGACGCAAUUUUGUUGAUUUGUUGCUACCUGUAUUAGGCUGAUCUGCUAUGGUUGUGGUUCCUUGUCGUAGAGUGCCAACUACGGACUCCGCCAUGUCCAACCACCUACACAUUUAGGUUUGUUUUAAAAUCGAAUAAAUUCUUCCACUCAGAUUGUGGGAAAUAAGGUGAAUCAAAUUGGUUUUCAUAUUUGGCCCAAUUAGCUCAAAGGUUCUACUAUGAAUCUGAUGUAUUGAAGUCACUGUCUUCUAGCUAUAUGUUGUCUACAAAUUUCCCUUUUCACCUUUUUUUUUGUAAUGUGAUUCCAAACUCUUAAGGUUAACCACUGCCACUAUUUCUCUAAUGAAUAUGCCAUGUGCAUAGGAAAGGUGCACCAUUUUUUCUUUAUCUUUAUCUUAGUUAAAUCCAUCCAGAGUGUAUGGAGGAACUAAAGACAUAUAGCUGAACAUAGAGCAUCAAUCCUCUUAUUGUUUAUUGUUCAUAAAAUUCUAUAUUAGAGUACCAUAUCAAUUCCAUUGUGACUUAAACGACGAAAUGCAUGAAAACUAUGUUUACUUUUCAACGUUUUUCAGACUAUUUGUCAUGUAUCCUUACUUACCGAGCAAUAGGGUUGUGGCAGAUGCUGGUAGCGCAAAAUGGAAUCCUAGAAAGAGGUCUAAUUGAUCAGCUGUGUUGAUGGACAGUUACCUGCCCAAUGUAAAUUAGAUACUAAAGGGAAAGGCAUGAAUGCGUAAGUUUUGUAGCAGUAGAUUCAGAACGAUGUUCUUUAUGCAUUUAAAAAAAAUCGUACAAUUCUUGAACAUGUUCAGAAUUAUGCAAUCAUCUCCUCAGAAUAGUGAGACAUUUCUUGGCUUAAUUUGUAUAUCCAAACUGGUGCCUUUUAGACUUGCCUGAUACAUAUCU